CCUACGGGAGGCAGCAGUGGGGAAUAUUGGGCAAUGGAGGAAACUCUGACCCAGCAAUGCCGCGUGAAUGAAGAAGGUCUUCGGAUUGUAAAGUUCUUUAGUCAGGGAAGAAGUCAAUGACGGUACCUGAAGAAUAAGCUCCGGCUAACUACGUGCCAGCAGCCGCGGUAAUACGUAGGGAGCAAGCGUUGUUCGGAAUGACUGGGCGUAAAGGGUGCGUAGGCGGUUGUACAAGUUAGAAGUGAAAUACCCAGGGCUUAACUCGGGUGCUGCUUCUAAAACUGUAUGACUUGAGUGCAGUAGAG
RNAcentral lists this ribosomal RNA (305 nucleotides) under uncultured bacterium. RNAcentral describes it as "bacterial SSU rRNA". It matches the Rfam family "Bacterial small subunit ribosomal RNA", at positions 338 to 656 of the family's 1533-position model. The record is from RNAcentral.